GAUGAACGCUGGCGGCGUGCCUAAUACAUGCAAGUCGAGCGAACAGACGAGGAGCUUGAUCCUCUGACGUUAGCGGCGGACGGGUGAGUAACACGUGGAUAACCUACCUAUAAGACUGGGAUAACUUCGGGAAACCGGAGCUAAUACCGGAUAAUAUAUUGAACCGCAUGGUUCCAUAGUGAAAGACGGUUUUGCUGUCACUUAUAGAUGGAUCCGCGCCGCAUUAGCUAGUUGGUAAGGUAACGGCUUACCAAGGCAACGAUGCGUAGCCGACCUGAGAGGGUGAUCGGCCACACUGGAACUGAGACACGGUCCAGACUCCUACGGGAGGCAGCAGUAGGGAAUCUUCCGCAAUGGGCGAAAGCCUGACGGAGCAACGCCGCGUGAGUGAUGAAGGUCUUCGGAUCGUAAAACUCUGUUAUUAGGGAAGAACAAAUGUGUAAGUAACUAUGCACGUCUUGACGGUACCUAAUCAGAAAGCCACGGCUAACUACGUG
Molecule: ribosomal RNA, 497 nt
Filed under: uncultured bacterium
Lineage: Bacteria
Description: partial 16S ribosomal RNA
Rfam family: Bacterial small subunit ribosomal RNA
Source: RNAcentral